UUUCGGGGAACCAGGAGACAGGUGCUGCAUGGCUGUCGUCAGCUCGUGUCGUGAGAUGUUGGGUUAAGUCCCGCAACGAGCGCAGUCCCUUGGUUUUAGUUGCCAGCAUUUAGUUGGGCACUCUAAAGUGACUGCCGGUGUAAGCCGGAGGAAGGUGGGAUGACGUCAAAUCGUCAUGCCCCUUAUGACCUGGGCUACACACGUGCUACAAUGGAUAAUACAAAGGGUCGCGAAGCCGCGAGGUGGAGCCAAUCCCAUAAAAUUAUUCUCAGUUCGGAUUGCAGGCUGCAACUCGCCUGCAUGAAGCCGGAAUCGCUAGUAAUCGUAGAUCAGCAUGCUACGGUGAAUACGUUCCCGGGCCUU
RNAcentral lists this ribosomal RNA (363 nucleotides) under uncultured Brochothrix sp. RNAcentral's name for it is "bacterial SSU rRNA". It matches the Rfam family "Bacterial small subunit ribosomal RNA", at positions 1017 to 1382 of the family's 1533-position model. Lineage: Bacteria; Bacillati; Bacillota; Bacilli; Caryophanales; Listeriaceae. The record is from RNAcentral.